CAGUGUUACAGCUCUUUUAGAAUUUGUCUAGCAGGUUUUCUGGCUAAUUGCUGGAAAACCCCU
Small nuclear RNA from Cricetulus griseus (Chinese hamster), 63 nucleotides. Its record names the gene U7. It matches the Rfam family "U7 small nuclear RNA". Rfam says of the family: Animal histone pre-mRNAs are spliced by a different mechanism than nuclear pre-mRNAs and self-splicing introns. Lineage: Eukaryota; Metazoa; Chordata; Mammalia; Rodentia; Cricetidae. The record is from Ensembl.